Molecule: ribosomal RNA, 252 nt
Filed under: uncultured bacterium
Lineage: Bacteria
Description: partial 16S ribosomal RNA
Rfam family: Bacterial small subunit ribosomal RNA
Source: RNAcentral
UACGUAGGGUGCAAGCGUUAAUCGGAAUUACUGGGCGUAAAGCGUGCGCAGGCGGUUAUGUAAGACAGAUGUGAAAUGCCCGGGCUCAACCUGGGAACUGCAUUUGUGACUGCAUGGCUAGAGUUUGGCAGAGGGGGGUAGAAUUCCACGUGUAGCAGUGAAAUGCGUAGAUAUGUGGAGGAAUACCGAUGGCGAAGGCAGCCCCCUGGGUCAAGACUGACGCUCAUGCACGAAAGCGUGGGGAGCAAACAG